Long non-coding RNA from Spea bombifrons (plains spadefoot toad), 647 nucleotides. RefSeq lists it as uncharacterized. The record is from RefSeq and is a predicted model, not a curated record. The transcript has 4 exons. Lineage: Eukaryota; Metazoa; Chordata; Amphibia; Anura; Pelobatidae.
CGAGAGAGAUAUAGGGGUAAUGUGGACUGCAUUGAUUAUUUCUGUGGUCAGAUUUUUUUUCUUCAUGUGCGAAUAAUCUCCUUUCUUUGACGCUGCUGUAUUCCGGAUGAGACCAAGAAAUUCUAGCUUACUUGGUGGAUCAGCGUUUCUCUCUCUUAAAUUAAAGGAGCUACAUUAAAACUAAGAAACAAUUAAGGGAAAGAUGAUGCUUACUCGGCAGUCUUUGCUGCCUUUGAGCUACCUCCACCCUGCUGAAGACCAGGCCUAGGAUGUAUAAAAAAUAGUUUAUGCAAUACCAGUUAACGGACUAAAUAUCCGAACAAAUCACAAAGGAAAAAUAUGUAAUCUGAAAAGGACUACAGCGCUUGGAGUCUCUGGAUACAGAAUAUAGUUUCAUGCUGGAUAAUUGACAAGAACGAAAAGCUCCGGGAAAGAUGCAAAUUAAAAGCCACAGUCACUUGUAAGAGUUAAGAAACCAAGACUAUAUGGUGAUGCGGCCCAGGAAUGCAAAAGAAGAACCAAGAUAUGGUUUGUUGGCUCCACACUUCAUCAUCAUCCAAGUAUUUGGGACCAGAAAAAUUGGGAGCUGCAUGCUCAAAAGAAGCGGAAAAAAGACAAACGCCAGGAUAGCAUUAACACAACCAAAA